Molecule: unclassified non-coding RNA, 487 nt
Filed under: Erwinia amylovora
Lineage: Bacteria; Pseudomonadati; Pseudomonadota; Gammaproteobacteria; Enterobacterales; Erwiniaceae
Description: partial 16S/23S intergenic spacer
Rfam family: Bacterial large subunit ribosomal RNA (bases 278-487)
Source: RNAcentral
UUAACAAUCCGGAACAAGCUGAAAAUUGAAACGACGUGUCGUGUUCAUUCUCCGUAAUCAGAAUGAAGCCACGAUAUGUUCGAGUCUCUCAAAUACUUGCACCCGAAAGGUCCUCUUACUCAGGUUGAGUAAUGAGCGAGCUAAGUGAAGGCAAGGCGUCAGCGCGCAGCAACGCGGAGUGGACUUGAGUCCAUGAGCAUUGCGAGCACUGCAUAACGCCGCCGUCACGACGCGCAGCCAUUUACGUGAACCGGAGAGGGACGCUUGUGGGUUGUGAGGUUAAGCGACUAAGCGUACACGGUGGAUGCCCAGGCAGUCAGAGGCGAUGAAGGGCGUGCUAAUCUGCGAUAAGCGUCGGUAAGGUGAUAUGAACCGCAACAACCGACGAUACCCGAAUGGGGAAACCCAGUGCAAUCCGUUGCACUAUCAUGUCAUGAAUACAUAGUGGCAUGAGGCGAACCGGGGGAACUGAAACAUCUAAGGUACC